UAGGCGGCCCUGUAAGUCAGUGGUGAAAUCUUUGGGCUUAACCCAAAAAUUGCCAUUGAUACUGCAGGGCUUGAGUACAGUUGCCGUUGGCGGAAUAUGACAUGUAGUGGUGAAAUACAUAGAGAUGUCAUAGAACACCGAUUGCGAAGGCAGCUAACGAAACUGUAACUGACGCUGAGGCUCGAAAGUGCGGGGAUCAAACAGGAUUAGAUACCCUGGUAGUCCGCACUGUAAACGAUGAUUACUCGCUGCUGGGAGGUAACUUUCAGUGGCUUAGCGAAAGCGAUAAGUAAUCCACCUGGGGAGUACGCCGGCAACGGUGAAACUCAAAGGAAUUGA
Molecule: ribosomal RNA, 339 nt
Filed under: uncultured bacterium
Lineage: Bacteria
Description: bacterial SSU rRNA
Rfam family: Bacterial small subunit ribosomal RNA
Source: RNAcentral